Actinia tenebrosa (Australian red waratah sea anemone) is the source of this 565-nucleotide long non-coding RNA. The record is from RefSeq and is a predicted model, not a curated record. Lineage: Eukaryota; Metazoa; Cnidaria; Anthozoa; Actiniaria; Actiniidae.
AGAAACACAUAUAAUUGCGUCGGUCGCCUUGGAAUCCAUCCCAACAGGGGGUGGUUGGGGUCAAUUUCGUGGAAUAUCUCAUAGAUUACGUCGGGGUAAUAAGGAAUAUCCUUAUCCAGCCGACAAAACAUCCACUCGACUCUGUUCAUAGUAUCUUCAGAAACCUCGGGAAUAGAGUCGCCGGUAAUUUCAGACAAAAGUUCAGAUACCACCAGAUAAGCGUGGGAAGAAAACGUAUAAUCUUCGAAUCAGAGCGAAAACCGUUUCUUACUGAAGAACGUCUGAUUAACAAACCUCUAAGAAUAUUUCCAAAAUCGUACAUUGCAACACCUCAUUUCUAUGAGUCCGAGGGAGAUGCUUCUUUGUAACUUUCUUUGCAAUUGAAGCGAAAAUGUUACUGAUGCCGAAAAUACUACUAAUGCCGAGGGAGAUCGUGUAUACCCCUGUGUAGGCUCGGCAGUGGUUCGUACACUAGCGUUGGUGCUGCAUCUGUCAUCGCUGUGUAAACACACUGCCAUUCCACCUUUCAAAAUAAUUGGAUUAAGCGAGCAGACGAGAGAACAAU